GGGCGACUUCUUCCCUCAUGUGAGCUGCUCUGUUUACAUUUGCUGGUCGCUGGAAGAUCGAAAGACUGGACAAAAUCCAUAUGGCGGCCGGCCGGCGCGGUGGCUCUCGCCUGUGAUCCCGCGCUUUGGGAGGCCGAGGCGGGAGGUUCUUCUGAGCUGAAGAGUUCGAGACCAGCCCGGGAAACGUAGUGAGACCCCCACCAUCUCUACAAAUAAUAACAAACAAACAAAAGGUCCCCCCGCCCCGCCGGCCGCGGGUUGCCGUCGCACCCAGGCACAUUUGAAGGGCGGCAGGAGCCAAGGCCUGGCUGUCACUGCUGUCCCGGACCCCUUUGACGGCCCCUGGGGGUUCACCAGAGGGCUGGCCCGUGGCUCACUGCCCAGUCCUCUAUGAGGACACUUCGCCAUAGACAUUUUGUUAUUGCAGACUGCUCUGGGAACACCCCUGACUGGGCCCUAAAAUGAAUUCCAGAAAAGGAAUCGCAGGUCAAGGGGCGGUUCUAAAAGGCUUGGGCUAGGGUCAGCCAGAGCUCUGUGCAGCAGAUGGGGGCCUGGAAAAGUCUGCAGAAGUGGCCUUCCGCCCAGGCCCUGCCUCCCCCGACGGGGGCACGUUGUCCUGAGUGCAGAGCUGCUUCUAGGAGGGAGUAGGGGUCCUGUGUCCCCUCCUGCGAACCAAGGCAUAAUGAGAACUGGAUGACUUGGGCCCACUUUUGGGUCUGGUGAGCAGCCUGGGCAGGAGACUGGAGGAGGUGCUGCUGGAGGAUGGGCAGAACAGGGAAGCGGGAGUGGCGUUCUGUCUCAGCAACACCAUUCCCAGCUGGCUCCUCUGUGGAGUGUGUGUGCAGGGGAGCGGGGGCAGGGGACACGGAUUUUCUUCCUCCAGCUCUUAGCUCUCAGGACCAGAGCUUGGAGAGGAACAGAGACCCCCCUACCCAGCCUAGGGUUUAGCCUGCGCCCGAACCCAAGCCAGUUAGCAAUGACCCUAGGGCACCCUCCCCAGUCACUCAGCCACUCCAGCCUGGUAAGAUGAGGUGGCCAGGCUCCUGCAGAGCGAGCUCCCCUCUGGAGCCCUGGCAGCCUGUAGAGCACUCUCAACUCUCUCGCCUCUGGGGCAGGCCAGGCCAGGCUGUUUGUGGCCCUUGCAUUGGCUUCUCAGGGUCCAUCAUGGAAACCUAGGGGUCCAACCUCAGCCCCUCUGUGUCCCUGCCCUAGCUGCGGCUGAGAGCCCCCAGGAGUAAGCUGGUGAGAGGCCUUCCAUGGCCUCCCACUCUCUGUGGGCUCCUGUCCCUGUGGGGCCACCACGCUGGCCACCAGCUGCCUCUACUUCUGCCUUACAGCCUCCCUGCCUUCUGCUCUCAACGUUGAAACAGCCCCCUCCACAGCUCCCGAACCUGUGUUCCAGCGGAUGCUUCUCUCCCUUGAUGAUGCACCCGCCUGAGUCACCCCCUAAUUUCUCCCCUGGGGGAUUCUGACUUUCCACUUCUCUUGGGUUUCUCUUCCCCAGCCUCUCAGCUGUGGUUGGUGUGGAGUCAGGGCCGGGUGCCUAUAAGGGCCUAAGGUAGGACUUGGUGACUCGGCGGUGGUUUCCCUUGGUUCCGACUUCCCUCUUGCCUCUCUGUCUAUUACUGGCUGGUCAACUCCUCCAGUGCCCCUUCCUCCAGGCAGCCUCCUCAGCCCUGCCCACCUGCUCCAUCUGAGCCUGCCCCAGUCCCCAGCCUGAGUCCUCAAGCAGAACCAAUCCCCCCUACCUCAGCUGAUGAUUCCCUGUGCAGAGUUUGUAUUGGGGCUCCCCUAACAAGAGCUGAUGCUGUAUAUGCCCAGCUGUGCCAUCUCAUUGACUUCUCCCCAGGAUCCUAGGAGGGAGGGAACACUUUACAGAUGGGGAAACUGAAACUCAGAGAUGUUAAAUAACUUGCCUGAAGUCACAGCCAGUGAGGUCAAAGUGGGAUUAGGAUUUAAAGCCAAUAAACCCCCAAAGCUCAGCACUGAGGAGGCUGAAGAGGGAGGACUGCUUGAGGCCAGGAGUUGGAGUUCUGCCUGGACAACAUAGCAAGACCCUAUCUCUUAAUUAAGAAUUAAAGCCAGUAAACCGGCUUCAGAGAACCAAUGGCUGAUUUGAAGAAAGGUGGGAACAGGCAGGAAGGAUGCCCACUGGGGAGGCUGCUGUGCCCAAAUCCCUGGCAGGGACCACGUGACUGCAGUCCCUCCCCUCUAAGCAGCACAGCCUCCUACCCCACUGUGCUCUGUGAUCCCCAGUCAGCCCCUGUCCCUCUCCUGACCUCAGCCCGCUUCCUCUUCGGGCUCUGCAGAACUCAGGGGCAGGGCACUGGGAGGAAGCAAUGCUGCCUCUGGCUGCACUCUGCAGAGGAGCAGACUACAAGGAUAGAGUCCAGUGCCCUGCCUGGAGUCUGCCCUGUGCCUGACCUGCUGAGCCGGGUCAUGUUCUGUGGAUAAAAGACCUGGGCCUCCUUUGAAGCCCCCUCCAGGCCCAGUGGUUCACGUGUAACCAGGUGUGAUUUCUGAGGAACCUGGACCAAACACUGGCCUGGUAACGUCAUGCAGCCUCCUGCCUGGAUGCUGCCAAAGCAGCCCCUGUGGGCCCCAGGGAGAGCAGGGGCUGUGGACAGGGGAGGUCAGCUGGAGGGGAGGCUGGCACCUUCCAAGCCCCUCUCCUUGUGCACCUGCUCUGGGGGACACUAAGGCUCCCAAUCAGCCCCUGCCUGGGGGGUCUCACCCUGACAUUUAGGUCUGAAGGCCUUGAGGGCCACCUCCCCACUGUUAUCUGCUGCUGCUGUCCCCGUCACAGCUGCCUGGCCCCCGUACACUGUCAUUUUGCCCCAGGCAGGCUCGCACAGGGCCGGCGCUCUGGGAGGGUGGAAGGAUUGCUGGGCCCAUGACUGGACACCUCUGUCACCCAACUUCUGAUCUAUCUGCACGUUGAGACCAGCCUGGCCAACACAGCAAGAUCCCUGUCUCAACAGAAUAAAAACAAAAAUAAAAUGAUCUUCUGUCUGCACACUGGGGACAAAAACACCCACCUCAGAAAGCUGAGGGUUACCAGCGGCGCCAGGCCGGAGCCGCCCCAGUGCCAGGCUCACUGCUUGCCAUAGGCAGCCCUGCCCUCUGGAUCUCAUAUCUGCAGUUCUGACCUUGCCUGUGGAGGGAAAGUGUAGGGGAAAGAAAGAGAUCAGACUGCUACUGUGUCUAUGUAGAAAGAAGUGGACAUAAGAAACUCCAUUUUGUUCUGUACUAAGAAAAAUUCUUCUGCCUUGAGAUGCUGUUAAUCUGUAACCCUAGCCCCAACCCUGUGCUCGCAGAAACAUGUGCUGUGUUGACUCAAGGUUUAAUGGGUUUAGGGCUGUGCAGGACGUGCUGUGUUAAAAUGUGUUUGCAGGCAGUGUGCUUGGUGAAAGCCAUCGCCAUUCUCCAGUCUUGAGUACCCAGGGACACGAUGCACUGCGGAAGGCCGCAGGGACCUCUGCCCAAGAAAGCCUGGGUGUUGUCCAAGGUUUCCCCCGACUGAGACAGCCUGAGAUAUGGCCUCGUGACAAGGGAAAAACCUGACCAUCCCCCAGCCCAACACCCGUAAAGGGUCUGUGCUGAGGAGGAUUAGUGAAAGAGGAAGGCCUCUUUGCAGUUGAGAUAGGAGGAAAGCAUCUAUCUCCUGCUCCUCCCUGGGAAUGGAAUGUCUCGGUGUAAAACCCGAUUGUACAUUCUAUUUACUGAGAUACGAGAAAACUGCCUUAUGGCUGGAGGUGAGACAUGCUGGCGGCAAUACCGCUCUUUACUGCACUGAGAUGUUUGUGUAAAGUCAGACAUAAAUCUGGCCUACGUGCACAUCCAGGCACAGCACCUUUCCUUAAACUUAUUUAUGACACAGAGACCUUUGCUCACAUGUUUUCCUGCUGACCCUCUCCCCACCAUUACCCUAAAGUCCUGCCACAUCCCCCUCACUGAAAUAGUAGAAAUAGUGAUCAAUAAAUACUGAAGGAACUCAGAGACCAGUGCCGGCGCGGGUCCUCCAUAUGCUGGCACCAGUUCCCUGGGCCCACUGUUCUUUCGC
Long non-coding RNA from Homo sapiens (human), 4063 nucleotides. Ensembl annotates it as TRMT61A divergent transcript. Its record names the gene TRMT61A-DT. Lineage: Eukaryota; Metazoa; Chordata; Mammalia; Primates; Hominidae. The record is from Ensembl.